UACGGGGGGGGCAAGCGUUGUUCGGAAUUACUGGGCGUAAAGGGCUCGUAGGCGGCCAACUAAGUCAGACGUGAAAUCCCCAGGCUCAACCUGGGAACUGCAUCUGAUACUGGAUGGCUUGAAUUCGGGAGAGGGAUGCAGAAUUCCAGGUGUAGCGGUGAAAUGCGUAGAUAUCUGGAGGAAUACCGGUGGCGAAGGCGGCAUCCUGGACCGACAUUGACGCUGAGGAGCGAAAGCCAGGGGAGCAAACGGG
This 253-nucleotide ribosomal RNA is filed under the name uncultured bacterium. RNAcentral describes it as "partial 16S ribosomal RNA". It matches the Rfam family "Bacterial small subunit ribosomal RNA", at positions 524 to 776 of the family's 1533-position model. The record is from RNAcentral.